AUUCCUCAUUUGCAAGUAGGCAAUUUGAUACGACAGAGGAACAUCAGGAUUUUGUCAUAUUCCUUGCACACUGGCCGGUACAUGAUAAUAAUGAUAUUAGCAUUAUAGCUGGGAGACGGUGAAUUUUGGGCUGGUUUGCCAACUGUUCAUUUUUUUAAUCUACCAGCAUAUAUGUCUCUUAUAAUCAAUAUAAGGAGUCUCUGAAAAAGAUGCUGAACUUGGAUUGUUCUAUAUGAUCUUGGAAAGAUGACAAUCUCUAUAUAUUCCAAUCUUGGAAUUUUUUAGAACUUUGGAUUUGGAUUGUUAUUCGUCUUCCUGUGUCGAAGUGUACAACAGUUCCUGAAAAAUAAUUGUGUCUUCCUAGAUGAUUUAUGCUUGCAGGCUGGCGGGUUGUCAUAUGUUGUGGAGCACCGGAGGCUGCAGUCUGAGCGCCUGAGCUUGGUGUAGACUGUAGACCGACUUUAACAGGAAGCUGCCGCUAUCUUUGUUAAACCUCAAUCAGCUAACAACACUCUUCGCUGCAAACAACCUAUUGCAGACUGACAUGAUUGUUUUGUCCGGCCAGAAAGCGCGGAUUGCCAAAAUAUUUAGAGAAAGCUUUAUGCCUAUAUACUGGAGAUGGAGUUACAAGAAUGAAUAAUUAUAGAAAGGUUUAUUGGUGACUACCAGUGAUGAUGGGGCAUGAAGAAAUCUAUAAGAGAAAUCAUAUUUAGUUCUGUUUUAUUAUGCCAAACAUAGUUUGCAAACUUGUAGUCAGAGGUGAUGUUUUAUUCUGCUGUGUGGUCAUGUUUAUUUUAGCAGUACUCUGGUCAUUAUGUUAUUGUUACUUUGGUUGAGACAUGUAUUUGAAGUUAAUGAAGAUUUGAGUUCUUAUAUGCGAUGAUGAAA
Long non-coding RNA from Panicum virgatum (switchgrass), 888 nucleotides. RefSeq lists it as uncharacterized. Lineage: Eukaryota; Viridiplantae; Streptophyta; Magnoliopsida; Poales; Poaceae. The record is from RefSeq and is a predicted model, not a curated record. The transcript is spliced from 2 exons.